GCCGGGCGUGGUGGCUUGCCUGUAGUCCCAGCUAUUCGGGAGGCUGAGGCUGGAGGAUCUCUUGAGCCCAGGAGUUCUGGGCUGUAGUGCACUAUGCCGAUCGGGUGUCUGCACUAAGUUCAGCAUCAAUAUGGUGACCUCCCGGGAGCGGGGGACCACCAGGUUUCCUAAGGAGGGGUGAACCGGCCCAGGUUGGAAACGGAGCAGGUCAAAACUCCCGUGCUGAUCAGUAGUGGGAUCGCGCCUGUGAAUAGCCACUGCACUCAAGCCUGGGCAACAUAGCAAGACCCUGUGUCU
This 297-nucleotide signal recognition particle RNA is filed under the name Aotus nancymaae (Ma's night monkey). RNAcentral describes it as "Metazoan signal recognition particle RNA (ENSANAG00000011775.1)". It matches the Rfam family "Metazoan signal recognition particle RNA". From Rfam's summary of the family: The signal recognition particle (SRP) is a universally conserved ribonucleoprotein. It is involved in the co-translational targeting of proteins to membranes. The record is from RNAcentral. Lineage: Eukaryota; Metazoa; Chordata; Mammalia; Primates; Aotidae.